This 376-nucleotide ribosomal RNA is filed under the name uncultured bacterium. RNAcentral's name for it is "bacterial SSU rRNA". It matches the Rfam family "Bacterial small subunit ribosomal RNA", at positions 521 to 896 of the family's 1533-position model. The record is from RNAcentral.
UAAGACGAACCGUGCGAACGUUGUUCGGAUUCACUGGGCUUAAAGGGCGCGUAGGCGGGUGAUCAAGUCCGGGGUGAAAUCCUUCAGCUCAACUGGAGAAUAGCCUUGGAUACUGGUCGCCUCGAGGGAGGUAGGGGCGGGCGGAACUUCCGGUGGAGCGGUGAAAUGCGUAGAUAUCGGAAGGAACGCCGGUGGCGAAAGCGGCCCGCUGGACCUCUUCUGACGCUGAGGCGCGAAAGCCAGGGGAGCGAACGGGAUUAGAUACCCCGGUAGUCCUGGCCCUAAACGAUGGGUACUAGAUUGUGGACUUAACAUGGGUUCACAGUCGAAGCAAAAGUGUUAAGUACCCCGCCUGGGGAGUAUGGUCGCAAGGCUG